UUUCCGUAGGUGAACCUGCGGAAGGAUCAUUAAAGUUAUAGUCCCCCGGCCCCUCCGGGCUGGGGUCUUCUAUACCACCCUUUGUUUAUUACACCUUUGUUGCUUUGGCAGGCCUGCCCUCGGGCCGCUGGCUCCGGCCGGCUCGUGCCUGCCAGAGGACCUAAACUCUGUUUGUAUAUGAAGUCUGAGUACUAUAUAAUAGUUAAAACUUUCAACAACGGAUCUCUUGGUUCUG
This 235-nucleotide unclassified non-coding RNA is filed under the name plant metagenome. Its description in RNAcentral is "partial contains small subunit ribosomal RNA, internal transcribed spacer 1, and 5.8S ribosomal RNA". The record is from RNAcentral.